This 449-nucleotide ribosomal RNA is filed under the name uncultured bacterium. RNAcentral describes it as "bacterial SSU rRNA". It matches the Rfam family "Bacterial small subunit ribosomal RNA", at positions 29 to 526 of the family's 1533-position model. The record is from RNAcentral.
AACGAACGCUGGCGGCAGGCCUAACACAUGCAAGUCGAGCGCACCUUCGGGUGAGCGGCGGACGGGUUAGUAACGCGUGGGAACGUGCCCAGCUCUAGGGAAUAGCCUCGGGAAACUGAGAGUAAUACCCUAUACGCCCUUCGGGGGAAAGAAUUUCGGAGUUGGAUCGGCCCGCGUCUGAUUAGGUAGUUGGUGGGGUAACGGCCUACCAAGCCUACGAUCAGUAGCUGGUUUGAGAGGAUGAUCAGCAACACUGGGACUGAGACACGGCCCAGACUCCUACGGGAGGCAGCAGUGGGGAAUCUUAGACAAUGGGCGCAAGCCUGAUCUAGCCAUGCCGCGUGAGUGACGAAGGCCCUAGGGUCGUAAAGCUCUUUCACCAGGGAAGAUAAUGACGGUACCUGGAGAAGAAACCCCGGCUAACUCCGUGCCAGCCGCCGCGGUAACAC